ACGUACACUCCUGCGGGAGGCAGCAGUGGGGAAUAUUGGACAAUGGGCGCAAGCCUGAUCCAGCCAUGCCGCGUGAGUGAUGAAGGCCCUAGGGUUGUAAAGCUCUUUCACCGGUGAAGAUAAUGACGGUAACCGGAGAAGAAGCCCCGGCUAACUUCGUGCCAGCAGCCGCGGUAAUACGAAGGGGGCUAGCGUUGUUCGGAUUUACUGGGCGUAAAGCGCACGUAGGCGGACUAUUAAGUCAGGGGUGAAAUCCCGGGGCUCAUCCCCGGAGCUGCCUUUGAUACUGGUAGUCUUGAGUUCGAGAGAGGUGAGUGGAAUUCCGAGUGUAGAGGUGAAAUUCGUAGAUAUUCGGAGGAACACCAGUGGCGAAGGCGGCUCACUGGCUCGAUACUGACGCUGAGGUGCGAAAGCGUGGGGAGCAAACAGGAUUAGAAACCCGGGUAGUCCCA
RNAcentral lists this ribosomal RNA (452 nucleotides) under uncultured organism. RNAcentral describes it as "partial 16S ribosomal RNA". It matches the Rfam family "Bacterial small subunit ribosomal RNA", at positions 329 to 797 of the family's 1533-position model. The record is from RNAcentral.